UACGAAGGGAGCUAGCGUUGUUCGGAAUUACUGGGCGUAAAGCGCAUGCAGGCGGAUCGUUAAGUCGGGGGUGAAAUCCCGAGGCUCAACCUCGGAACUGCCUUCGAUACUGGCGAUCUUGAGUCCGGGAGAGGUGAGUGGAACUGCGAGUGUAGAGGUGAAAUUCGUAGAUAUUCGGAAGAACACCAGUGGCGAAGGCGGCUCACUGGCCCGGUACUGACGCUGAGGCGCGAAAGCGUGGGGAGCAAACAGG
Molecule: ribosomal RNA, 253 nt
Filed under: uncultured bacterium
Lineage: Bacteria
Description: partial 16S ribosomal RNA
Rfam family: Bacterial small subunit ribosomal RNA
Source: RNAcentral